UAAUAGCCUGCUGUCUAGUAUAGCAAUUAUACAGCGAAACUGCGAAUGGCUCAUUAAAUCAGUUAUAGUUUAUUUGAUGGUAAAUGUGUUUUAUAACACUUCACUACAUGGAUAACCGUAGUAAUUCUAGAGCUAAUACAUGCUAAAAGCCCCAACUUUUUGGAAGGGGUGCAUUUAUUAGAUAAAAAAAAACCGAUACAUAUUCCUUUUGGAGUAUGUUCCCUUGAUGAUUCAUGAUAACUUUGCGAAUCGCAUGACCUUGAGUCGGCGAUGAUUCAUUCAAAUUUCUGCCCUAUCAACUUUGGAUUGUAGUGUAGUGGACUACAAUGGUGAUAACGGGUAACGGAGGAUUAGGGUUCGAUUCCGGAGAGGGAGCCUGAGAGAUGGCUACCACUUCCAAGGAAGGCAGCAGGCGCGCAAAUUACCCAAUCUCAAUACGAGGAGGUAGUGACAAUAAAUAACAAUACAGGUCUUGACAAAAGUCUUGUAAUUGGAAUGAGUACAAUUUAAACCCCUUAACGAGGAUCAAUU
RNAcentral lists this ribosomal RNA (531 nucleotides) under uncultured eukaryote. RNAcentral describes it as "bacterial SSU rRNA". It matches the Rfam family "Eukaryotic small subunit ribosomal RNA", at positions 43 to 549 of the family's 1831-position model. The record is from RNAcentral.